GUAGGGAGCAAGCGUUAUUCGGAUUUACUGGGCGUAAAGAGUGCGUAGGCGGUUGGGUAAGUCAAGGGUGAAAUCUCUGCUCUCAAGGCAGAAACUGCCCUUGAUACUGCCCGACUUGAGGACAGGAGAGGGAAGUGGAACUCUGGAAGUAGCGGUGAAAUGCGUAGAUAUCCAGGGGAACGCCAGUGGCGAAGGCGGCUUCCUGGUCUGUCCCUGACGCUGAGGCACGAAAGCUAGGGGAGCGAUCGGGGGAUUAGAGACCCCGGUAGUCCUAGCCGUAAACGAUGGGUACUAAGUGUGGGGGGAGCAUUACUCUCCGUGCUGAAGCUAACGCGUUAAGUACCCCGCCUGGGGAGUACGGUCGCAAGGCUG
Molecule: ribosomal RNA, 372 nt
Filed under: uncultured organism
Description: partial 16S ribosomal RNA
Rfam family: Bacterial small subunit ribosomal RNA
Source: RNAcentral